RNAcentral lists this small nuclear RNA (59 nucleotides) under Sphenodon punctatus (tuatara). Lineage: Eukaryota; Metazoa; Chordata; Lepidosauria; Sphenodontia; Sphenodontidae. The record is from RNAcentral.
AAACUACCAUAUAGCUUUUAUACUAAAAUUGGAACGAUACAGAGAAGAUUAGCAUGUCC